This 435-nucleotide ribosomal RNA is filed under the name uncultured bacterium. RNAcentral describes it as "partial 16S ribosomal RNA". It matches the Rfam family "Bacterial small subunit ribosomal RNA", at positions 29 to 507 of the family's 1533-position model. The record is from RNAcentral.
AACGAACGCUGGCGGCAUGCCUAACACAUGCAAGUCGAACGAUUGCCUUCGGGUGAUAGUGGCGCACGGGUGCGUAACGCGUGGGAAUCUGCCCUUAGGUUCGGAAUAACAGCUGGAAACGGCUGCUAAUACCGGAUGAUAUCGCGAGAUCAAAGAUUUAUCGCCUGAGGAUGAGCCCGCGUUGGAUUAGGUAGUUGGUGGGGUAAAGGCCUACCAAGCCGACGAUCCAUAGCUGGUCUGAGAGGAUGAUCAGCCACACUGGGACUGAGACACGGCCCAGACUCCUACGGGAGGCAGCAGUGGGGAAUAUUGGACAAUGGGCGCAAGCCUGAUCCAGCAAUUCCGCGUGAGUGAUGAAGGCCCUAGGGUUGUAAAGCUCUUUUACCCGGGAAGAUAAUGACUGUACCGGGAGAAUAAGCCCCGGCUAACUCCGUG